UACGUAGGGUGCGAGCGUUGUCCGGAAUUACUGGGCGUAAAGAGCUCGUAGGUGGUUUGUCGCGUUGUUCGUGAAAACUCACAGCUCAACUGUGGGCGUGCGGGCGAUACGGGCAGACUGGAGUACUGCAGGGGAGACUGGAAUUCCUGGUGUAGCGGUGGAAUGCGCAGAUAUCAGGAGGAACACCGGUGGCGAAGGCGGGUCUCUGGGCAAUAACUGACGCUGAGGCGCGAAAGCGUGGGGAGCAAACAGG
Molecule: ribosomal RNA, 253 nt
Filed under: uncultured bacterium
Lineage: Bacteria
Description: partial 16S ribosomal RNA
Rfam family: Bacterial small subunit ribosomal RNA
Source: RNAcentral